GACGAACGCUGGCGGCGUGCUUAACACAUGCAAGUCGAACGCUGAAGCUCAGCUUUUGUUGGGUGGAUGAGUGGCGAACGGGUGAGUAACACGUGAGUAACCUGCCUCCUUCUUUGGGAUAACGCCCGGAAACGGGUGCUAAUACUGGAUAUUCACUGGUCUUCGCAUGGGGGUUGGUGGAAAGGGUUUUUCUGGUGGGGGAUGGGCUCGCGGCCUAUCAGCUUGUUGGUGGGGUGAUGGCCUACCAAGGCUUUGACGGGUAGCCGGCCUGAGAGGGUGACCGGUCACAUUGGGACUGAGAUACGGCCCAGACUCCUACGGGAGGCAGCAGUGGGGAAUAUUGCACAAUGGGCGCAAGCCUGAUGCAGCGACGCCGCGUGAGGGAUGGGGGCCUUCGGGUUGUGAACCUCUUUCGCUCAUGGUCAAGCCGCAACAAUGGUUGUGGUGAGGGUAGUGGGUAAAGAAGCGCCGGCUAACUACGUG
RNAcentral lists this ribosomal RNA (483 nucleotides) under uncultured bacterium. RNAcentral describes it as "partial 16S ribosomal RNA". It matches the Rfam family "Bacterial small subunit ribosomal RNA", at positions 28 to 507 of the family's 1533-position model. The record is from RNAcentral.